UCUACCCACAAGGAACUUAGGGUCUCUCCCAUGUUAUCUUAAGUUCUUUGAGGACAGGGA
This 60-nucleotide microRNA precursor is filed under the name Ornithorhynchus anatinus (platypus). RNAcentral's name for it is "Oan-Novel-11_pre stem-loop". Lineage: Eukaryota; Metazoa; Chordata; Mammalia; Monotremata; Ornithorhynchidae. The record is from RNAcentral.